UAUGAUCCUAGCGUGAUAUUUAUGUGGAAAGGCCAGGAUUAUAUGUUUUGGGAUCCCGAGGGUAGCAUUGAUCUCUCAAGUAAUGGUUUAACUGGUGAAAUACCAAAAGAGGUUGGAUACUUACUUGGAUUAGUUUCUUUAAAUUUAUCAAGAAACAACUUGAAUGGAGAAAUUCCAUCUGAGAUUGGGAAUUUAAGUUCUCUAGAAUUUAUUGACUUGUCAAGAAAUCAUUUAUCUGGAGAAAUCCCUUCUACUUUAUCCAAUAUUGAUCGUCUUGCUGUGUUAGACUUAUCAAACAACGAUCUCGUUGGAAGAAUCCCUUGGGGAAGACAGUUGCAAACAUUUGAUGCCUCUAGUUUUGAAGGAAAUAUUGGUCUUUGUGGUCAACAACUUAACAAAAGUUGUCCAGGUGAUGAGACAAUAGAAAAGCCUAAAGGACAAGCAAUUCAUGAUGAAGAUGACAAUUCAGUUUUCUAUGAAGCAUUAUACAUGAGUUUGGGGAUAGGAUUCUUCGUAGGCUUUUGGGGCUUAUUAGGGCCAAUACUACUUUGGCCACCAUGGAGAAAUUCUUACAUGAGAUUCUUGAACAAAGUAACAGACUAUAUACUUGUGACGAUUGAAGUGAACUUAUUGAAGUUCCAGAUGUGGCUCAAAUGGUAGUAGCACAAAAUUUGCAGUUUAUGGCAAAUUAGCUUCAAACUUCCAAGGGAUGAAAGCUUCGUGGAUUGCUGGUUGUGUACGUAAUAUUGAGGUUUACAAUGUAAUGCUAAAUCAAUGUUUUAAGGAUUGAUUUGUUUUUUAUUUUAUUUUAUAUAAUCUAUUUGUAAUUUUACUUUGUUUUGAUUGUCUGAUUUGGUUUCUUUUUGGUCAUCCAUCUUGAAUAAUAAUGUCUACUAUUAGCGUGUCA
Non-coding RNA from Cajanus cajan (pigeon pea), 907 nucleotides. The record is from RefSeq and is a predicted model, not a curated record. Lineage: Eukaryota; Viridiplantae; Streptophyta; Magnoliopsida; Fabales; Fabaceae.